GUUUCAGGGCGGGGUGCAAUUCCCCACUGGUGGUGAUGGGACGCAUAUGUCCCCAAGUCCGCGCGCUGCGAAGAAAAGAGCAGCUGAUCUGGUGAGAAUCCAGAACCAACGGUCACAGUCCGGAUGGAAGAAA
RNAcentral lists this non-coding RNA (133 nucleotides) under bovine gut metagenome. Its description in RNAcentral is "FMN riboswitch (RFN element)". It matches the Rfam family "FMN riboswitch aptamer (RFN element)". From Rfam's summary of the family: The RFN element is a highly conserved domain that is found frequently in the 5'-untranslated regions of prokaryotic mRNAs that encode for flavin mononucleotide (FMN) biosynthesis and transport proteins. This element is a metabolite-dependent riboswitch that directly binds FMN in the absence of proteins. The record is from RNAcentral.